GUGGGGGAUAUUGCACAAUGGGGGAAACCCUGAUGCAGCGACGCCGCGUGAGUGAAGAAGUAUUUCGGUAUGUAAAGCUCUAUCAGCAGGGAAGAAAAGGGCGAAAGCCCGGACAGUACCUGACUAAGAAGCCCCGGCUAACUACGUGCCAGCAGCCGCGGUAAUACGUAGGGGGCAAGCGUUAUCCGGAUUUACUGGGUGUAAAGGGAGCGUAGACGGCGAUGCAAGUCUGGAGUGAAAGCCCGGGGCCCAACCCCGGGACUGCUUUGGAAACUGUGUAGCUGGAGUACAGGAGGGGCAGGCGGAAUUCCUGGUGUAGCGGUGAAAUGCGUAGAUAUCAGGAGGAACACCGGCGGCGAAGGCGGCCUGCUGGACUGAAACUGACGUUGAGGCUCGAAAGCGUGGGGAGCAAACAGG
This 417-nucleotide ribosomal RNA is filed under the name uncultured bacterium. RNAcentral describes it as "bacterial SSU rRNA". It matches the Rfam family "Bacterial small subunit ribosomal RNA", at positions 354 to 776 of the family's 1533-position model. The record is from RNAcentral.